Erinaceus europaeus (western European hedgehog) is the source of this 294-nucleotide unclassified non-coding RNA. Its record names the gene 7SK. It matches the Rfam family "7SK RNA". Rfam says of the family: 7SK was discovered as an abundant small nuclear RNA in the mid-70s but a possible function has only recently been suggested. Two independent studies have found that 7SK RNA binds the CDK9/cyclin T complex (known as elongation factor P-TEFb). NCBI's taxonomy places the organism in Eukaryota, Metazoa, Chordata, Mammalia, Eulipotyphla, Erinaceidae. The record is from Ensembl.
AGAUUAAGAAACUGGACAUCUGUCACCCCAUUGAUUGCCAGGGUUGAUUUGGCUGAUCUGCCUAGCUAGGCGGGUGUCCCCUUCCUCCCUCACCACUCUAUGUCCAUCCCUCCCAAAGCUGCACGCUCGGUUGAAGAGGACGGCCUUCCCCGAAUAGAGACGGACCAGUCUUCGGUCUUCGGGUAUAUGAAUAGCUGCGCUCCCCUGCUAGAACGCCCAAACAAGCUCUCAAGAAACAAUAUGUUACUGUCAACUGUAAAACAUUAAUCCCCCAAUAAAGACAUAAUUUUUUUU